AGUGGGAUAACUGGGUCAAAUGGGAGUUCUAUUCCAGUUUUUCUAAGGAAUCUCCAUACUGCUUUCCAGAAUGGUUGCACCAAUUUGCAAUCCCACAAGCAAU
This 103-nucleotide microRNA precursor is filed under the name Marmota monax (woodchuck). The record is from RNAcentral. Lineage: Eukaryota; Metazoa; Chordata; Mammalia; Rodentia; Sciuridae.